Triplophysa dalaica is the source of this 698-nucleotide long non-coding RNA. RefSeq lists it as uncharacterized. The record is from RefSeq and is a predicted model, not a curated record. The transcript has 4 exons. Lineage: Eukaryota; Metazoa; Chordata; Actinopteri; Cypriniformes; Nemacheilidae.
CUUGGCAGUGAUUAUAAUGGCAGUGAUUAUAUGGAAAUGCUGCCGUACAUUUCUGUGAGGUGGCUGAGUUUGGAGAUGUGCAUCACCCGCAUUCUGCAGCAGUAUGGCCCACUCAGCAGCUACUUCAAAUCUUUAAAUGAGAAACAACCAAGGUUCAGGAGGCUGGUGGAGGCGUUUUCCAAUCCCCUGACGGAAGUCUAGCUCCUGUUCCUUCAGGGCACAUUCCCAGUGUUCUCUACACUGAACCUCCUUCUCCAGAGAGAAAAGGCAUCCAUAUUCCAGCUGUAUGAAGAGAUGACAAAAUUCAUCAAGAAACUCUUUUCGAGGUUCAUGACACCAGCAGCAUUACGAGGAGGAGAAGUCCAUGACAUCCCCUUCAAGGACUCACUGCACCAACUGCCAGGAGAAAAACUCAAUGUGGGUUUCACCACCAGAGCUACGGUAAACAGGCUUCUUGAGGCUGGAGAGUGUCAUGGUUUCACCUCUCCUGGUCAGGUAUUUCUUGGUUUAGAGGUGGAAUCAUACAGAAUUCUUUGUUUCAUGUGGGGAGAGAUGUUUUUUGACCUUGUGGUCUUCCAUACUCUCCCCAAGUCGCGUCAUCGUUCCUACCCUCCUGUUUCCUAGUUUGUGUUAAUUAGCUUUCCUUGAUUGUUUAUCCCCUGCACCUGUUCCCUCUUGGUUCCUCUCCCUUUAAAACA